This 200-nucleotide ribosomal RNA is filed under the name uncultured bacterium. RNAcentral's name for it is "partial 16S ribosomal RNA". It matches the Rfam family "Bacterial small subunit ribosomal RNA", at positions 29 to 258 of the family's 1533-position model. The record is from RNAcentral.
AGCGAACGCUGGCGGCAGGCCUAACACAUGCAAGUCGAGCGCACCUUCGGGUGAGUGGCGGACGGGUGAGUAACACGUGGGAACGUACCUUUUGGUUCGGAAUAACGCAGGGAAACUUGUGCUAAUACCGAAUGUGCCCUUCGGGGGAAAGAUUUAUCGCCAUUAGAGCGGCCCGCGUUAGAUUAGCUAGUUGGUGAGGU